This 476-nucleotide ribosomal RNA is filed under the name uncultured bacterium. RNAcentral's name for it is "SSU rRNA". It matches the Rfam family "Bacterial small subunit ribosomal RNA", at positions 26 to 518 of the family's 1533-position model. The record is from RNAcentral.
AGAAUCAACGCUGGCGGCGUGCCUAACACAUGCAAGUCGAACGAGAAAGGGGAGCAAUCCCUGAGUAAAGUGGCGACCGGGUGAGUAACACGUGACUAACCUACCUUCGAGUGGGGGAUAACUCCGGGAAACCGGGGCUAAUACCGCAUAACAUCCUCGGAUCGGAAGAACUGGGGAUCAAAGGAGCAAUUCGCUUGAAGAGGGAGUCGCGGCUGAUUAGCUUGUUGGCGGGGUAAUGGCCCACCAAGGCGAUGAUCGGUAUCCGGCCUGAGAGGGCGCACGGACACACUGGAACUGAAACACGGUCCAGACUCCUACGGGAGGCAGCAGUGGGGAAUUUUGCGCAAUGGGGGAAACCCUGACGCAGCAACGCCGCGUGGAGGAUGAGGUCCCUUGGGACGUAAACUCCUUUCGACCGGGACGAUAAUGACGGUACCGGUGGAAGAAGCCCCGGCUAACUUCGCGCCAGCAGCCGC